Long non-coding RNA from Homo sapiens (human), 527 nucleotides. The record is from Ensembl. Lineage: Eukaryota; Metazoa; Chordata; Mammalia; Primates; Hominidae.
UCCAUUUUAUUGCUGAAUGCUAUUCUGUUGUAUUGAUAUACCACAUUUUGUUUAUCCAUUCAUCAGCUGAUGGACAGUUGGGUUGUUUCUGUUUUUUGGUUAUGAAUAAUAUUGCAGUAUUGCUAAGAACGUGUGUAUAAGUUUUUCUGUGGGUAUAUGUUUUCAUUUCUCAAGGAGAUACCUUUAAAGCUGCAUCCAUCCAUAUCUCUACUUUGUGGUUAACAUUCUCCUAGGUUAUGCAGUUUGUUUGAGGAAGAACAGUGUUUUAGUAAACUCUUGAUCCUACUGUGGUGUUGCGGAUAUUGCCCUGAAUCAAGAAAAGGUGCCACCAAAAAAAAAUCCAAAACCCAAAAACAAAAAGAGAGAAUCCUGUUUUUAAGUUUGAACUCUCCAGUAGCAUUGUUUCCAAAUAUUUGGUGCAGAACUUUAACCAUUGGUGAGAGUUGACAGACGCGAUAGUGCCUAAAUUCAAUGCACAUGUACUGCUGCUUUAAACAAAUAAAGAGGAUUUUCAAUGCGAAGCCUCA